RNAcentral lists this unclassified non-coding RNA (250 nucleotides) under plant metagenome. Its description in RNAcentral is "partial contains small subunit ribosomal RNA, internal transcribed spacer 1, and 5.8S ribosomal RNA". The stretch from base 193 to 250 matches the Rfam family "5.8S ribosomal RNA", at positions 1 to 55 of the family's 154-position model. The record is from RNAcentral.
GUAGGUGAACCUGCGGAAGGAUCAUUAUUGAAAUAAACCUGAUGGGUUGUUGCUGGUUCUCUAGGGAGCAUGUGCACGCCUUGUCAUCUUUAUAUCUCCACCUGUGCACUUUUUGUAGGCCUUUCAGGUCUAUGUUGCUUCAUUUACCCCAAUGUAUGUCAAUAGAAUGUUGUGCCUAUUUAUUAUAUAUACAACUUUCAGCAACGGAUCUCUUGGCUCUCGCAUCGAUGAAGAACGCAGCAUCUGACUG